This is a long non-coding RNA of Drosophila hydei, 498 nucleotides long. RefSeq lists it as uncharacterized. NCBI's taxonomy places the organism in Eukaryota, Metazoa, Arthropoda, Insecta, Diptera, Drosophilidae. The record is from RefSeq and is a predicted model, not a curated record. The transcript has 3 exons.
UUUCAAAUCGAUUUUAGUUUUAGUAAAUUCAUGUCUUUAACCUCAACUAUAAUUUCUAACUGUUUGCCACCUGAUUUACUUUCAUUAGGCUAAUGCAAGUGGAGCUCGUAGUUCUCCACAAAAUCUCUAUCAAAUAAGUUUUGAUGGCCCCCCAGCCCAGUCCCCAGCCACCCGAACGCCUAGCCACCUGCUCUGCCCCGUCCAUUACCUGUCCGGGCAGUCAACCCCUCCUACGCAUUUCUUAACCCCCUUGGCAAAUAGCAACCACCUCGCCCCCUGCCCCCUCUGGCACCAUCCCUCAACCCCCUGUAGGCCACAAAAUGUGCAAGUUUUGCGAGCAUAUGAAGGGCCAAUUAUGAGUGCUACGAAAAGGCACAAUGCGAUGGGUCGAAGGACGGAAGGACCGAAGGACGGAAGGACGGAAGGACGUAAGGACGGUUAUCUGAGCUAGCCUGACAGCUUGCCAGCAUUUGUAACAAUUACAAAUGAGAACAGCAA